GCUCGGGUGGCGAAAUGGCAGACGCGCUAGCCUUAGGAGCUAGUACCUUCGGGUGUGAGAGUUCAAGUCUCUCCCCGAGCACCA
Molecule: transfer RNA, 84 nt
Filed under: Candidatus Peregrinibacteria bacterium
Lineage: Bacteria; Candidatus Peregrinibacteriota
Description: tRNA-Leu
Rfam family: tRNA
About the family: Transfer RNA (tRNA) molecules are approximately 80 nucleotides in length.
Source: RNAcentral